GGGCUUAACUGUCUCCCCCUUCCAGUCAGUGAAAUUGAUCUAUCCGUGCAGAAGCGGGUAUAAUUUUACAAGACGAGAAGACCCUUUGGAGCUUAAGGUACAAAAUUCAGUCACGUUAAACAACUCCAUGAAAAGCAAGAACUUAGUGGCCAUGAAAUUUUACCUUCGGUUGGGGCGACCACGGAGGAAAAGCAAGCCUCCGAGUGGACUGGGCCAAAACCCCUAAAGCUAAAAGAGACAUCUUAAAGCCGCAGAACAUCUGACCAACAAUGAUCCGGCUAACAAAGCCGAUCAGCGGACCAAGUUACCCUAGGGAUAACAGCGCAAUCCUCUCCCAGAGCCCAUAUCGACGAGGGGGUUUACGACCUCGAUGUUGGAUCAGGACAUCCUGGUGGUGCAGCCGCUAUUAAGGGUUCGUUUGUUCAACGAUUAAAGUCCUACGUGAUCUGAGUUCAGACCGGAGCAAUCCAGGUCAGUUUCUAUCUGUAACGCUACUUUUCCUAGUACGAAAGGAUCGGAAAAGAGGGGCCCAUACUCAACGCAUGCCCCACCCCUAAUUCAUGAAAACAAAUAAAUUAAAUAAGGGAGGGCUAAAACCCCUGCCGCC
This 607-nucleotide ribosomal RNA is filed under the name Cyprinella spiloptera (spotfin shiner). RNAcentral's name for it is "partial 16S ribosomal RNA". It matches the Rfam family "Bacterial large subunit ribosomal RNA", at positions 2008 to 2824 of the family's 2925-position model. Lineage: Eukaryota; Metazoa; Chordata; Actinopteri; Cypriniformes; Leuciscidae. The record is from RNAcentral.